Paramuricea clavata is the source of this 352-nucleotide non-coding RNA. Lineage: Eukaryota; Metazoa; Cnidaria; Anthozoa; Malacalcyonacea; Plexauridae. The record is from the annotation of a GenBank genome assembly.
AUUCACAGUUUUUGUCUUGCAUGACAAAUUUCUUUGUUUCGAAACCGGCGUCGUCGAGCCGGCCGCGUCGUGGAUCUUAAACGGCUCUCGAAUGCCUUCCUAACCAGACCCCAUUUCAAUUGAAAGGAGGAUAUUAUUAAGCUAAUUUUUUGUCAAUCAAUUUAACGUGUGAGUAACAUUUUGUUGUUAAUUGACUUUCAAACUGUUUCCAACUUUGGAGAACGUUAGUUUCAUGGCCCAACGGAGCGAUUCAUGGCAACGCGGAGCGAUUUUUCGAUUUAGUCACUGACCGAUAACUUUGAUCCUAGUUUAAGUUUUCCAAAUAUGUAGAAGCGCUAUAACAUUUUGAGUU